CACGCCGCGUGAGUGAUGAAGGUUUUCGGAUCGUAAAGCUCUGUUGUUAGGGAAGAACAAGUACCGUUCGAAUAGGGCGGUACCUUGACGGUACCUAACCAGAAAGCCACGGCUAACUACGUGCCAGCAGCCGCGGUAAUACGUAGGUGGCAAGCGUUGUCCGGAAUUAUUGGGCGUAAAGGGCUCGCAGGCGGUUUCUUAAGUCUGAUGUGAAAGCCCCCGGCUCAACCGGGGAGGGUCAUUGGAAACUGGGGAACUUGAGUGCAGAAGAGGAGAGUGGAAUUCCACGUGUAGCGGUGAAAUGCGUAGAGAUGUGGAGGAACACCAGUGGCGAAGGCGACUCUCUGGUCUGUAACUGACGCUGAGGAGCGAAAGCGUGGGGAGCGAACAGGAUUAGAUACCCUGGUAGUCCACGCCGUAAACGAUGAGUGCUAAGUGUUAGGGGGUUUCCGCCCCUUAGUGCCGCAGCUAACGCAUUAAGCACUCCGCCCUGGGGAGA
This 499-nucleotide ribosomal RNA is filed under the name Bacillus subtilis. RNAcentral's name for it is "bacterial SSU rRNA". It matches the Rfam family "Bacterial small subunit ribosomal RNA", at positions 393 to 881 of the family's 1533-position model. Lineage: Bacteria; Bacillati; Bacillota; Bacilli; Caryophanales; Bacillaceae. The record is from RNAcentral.